CGAGUGGGCUCCGGCACAGCGAGUCCGGGGCUGCACGGGCCGCCCCCCGCCCGAACCGGGCUUUCCCCUGCACAUCGGCCUGGCCGCGACACCGCUUUUUUUUCCUUUUUUUUUUUCUUUUUCUUUUUUUUCUUUCCUUCCUCUUCUUUCUUUCUUUUCUUUUCUUUUCUUUUCUUGUUUUCUUUCUUUCUUUCUUUUUUAACGUUCUAUAAGUUAUUUUUGAGGAUGCUGACCCAGCGGGGGCUGGUGGUGGUGCGUGGUUGUGCUGUGGAGCCCGGGACAGCUGCAAGCAGUCCAGCGCUGCGAUGAGCCCUGGCACAGCCCUGGCACGGCUGUUCCGACUGAAGCCACCGGCAGCCCGCUGCCUUCCUUCUGCACUGAAACUUCCUGCUGUCUACAGGUCUCCAAAACUGGGCACAAAGAAGCUGAGGAGCUUUUCAGCACCCUGCCACCUUCCCCACACAGCUCUCAUAAGCUUUAGCCUCCCCUCAUCUCAGCAUAUGGGCAGCUUUGCCACGUAGUCCCACAUGUUCCCAGGCUCCCGAAGGGACACCAGCAGCCGCUGCCUGCUGGUGGAGGGGUGACACAUGGGCAAGUCUCAGUCGUGGAGCACAACCUCACAGAGUCGUUGGUGUCCUCGGUCAGCAACACUGGGCUACAGCGCAGGAAGGCAGACGGGCAACACUGGGCUUCCCGAGGCACUGCUACAGCUUUGGAUAACCAUGGCUUGGUCACAGCCAGAGCAUCGUGGGCCAGCUCAGGUUCUCAGCUACCCAAGUGCACGAUCCAAGGCUCUGCCCAUGGCCUCUAAACUACUGAGAGCAGCCCUGUCGCAAGAUUGAGUUGCCAGCAAAGAGCAGAAGUCAACACAGAAAUUUAACAACUAGCUUCACAAGCUGCAGUACCACAUGUGCUGGAUGUGUCUGAAGGGCCAAAUGCACCACUUGGGCUGCCAGGCAAAAGAAACUUGCAUUACCGCUCUUGUUCAAAGCUGUCACACUUGCAGAGAAAAGUAAUGACUGGUCGGUGGUGAGAUAUCCUGUAUUUAUUCUGUAACUCAGCAAUAACAGUGAUUUUCCUGUUGUGAAAACGCAAUAAACAAACUGCAGAGAGAAGGAACUA
Molecule: long non-coding RNA, 1122 nt
Organism: Lagopus leucura (white-tailed ptarmigan)
Lineage: Eukaryota; Metazoa; Chordata; Aves; Galliformes; Phasianidae
Exons: 2
Source: RefSeq, a predicted model, not a curated record